AGCGAACGCUGGCGGCAGGCCUAACACAUGCAAGUCGAACGAACCUUUCGGGGCUAGUGGCGGACGGGUGAGUAACACGUGGGAACGUGCCUUUAGGUUCGGAAUAACUCAGGGAAACUUGUGCUAAUACCGAAUGUGCCCUUCGGGGGAAAGAUUUAUCGCCUUUAGAGCGGCCCGCGUCUGAUUAGCUAGUUGGUUGAGGUAAUGGCUCACCAAGGCGACGAUCAGUAGCUGGUCUGAGAGGAUGAUCAGCCACAUUGGGACUGAGACACGGCCCAAACUCCUACGGGAGGCAGCAGUGGGGAAUCUUGCGCAAUGGGCGAAAGCCUGACGCAGCCAUGCCGCGUGAAUGAUGAAGGUCUUAGGAUUGUAAAAUUCUUUCACCGGGGACGAUAAUGACGGUACCCGGAGAAGAAGCCCCGGCUAACUUCGUG
This 434-nucleotide ribosomal RNA is filed under the name uncultured bacterium. Its description in RNAcentral is "partial 16S ribosomal RNA". It matches the Rfam family "Bacterial small subunit ribosomal RNA", at positions 29 to 507 of the family's 1533-position model. The record is from RNAcentral.